UCCAGACUCCUACGGGAGGCAGCAGUGGGGGAUAUUGCACAAUGGGGGGAACCCUGAUGCAGCGACGCCGCGUGGGUGAAGGAGCGUUUCGGCGCGUAAAGCCCUCUCGGCAGGGAAGAAGGAGGACGGUACCUGACUAAGAAGCCCCGGCUAACUACGUGCCAGCAGCCGCGGUAAUACGUAGGGGGCAAGCGUUAUCCGGAUUUACUGGGUGUAAAGGGGGCGCAGACGGCAGCGCAAGCCAGGAGUGAAAGCCCGGGGCCCAACCCCGGGACUGCUCUUGGAACUGCGCGGCUGGAGUGCAGGAGGGGCAGGCGGAAUUCCUGGUGUAGCGGUGAAAUGCGUAGAUAUCAGGAGGAACACCGGUGGCGAAGGCGGCCUGCUGGACUGCGACUGACGUUGAGGCCCGAAAGCGUGGGGAGCAAACAGGAUUAGAUACCCCAGUAGG
Molecule: ribosomal RNA, 448 nt
Filed under: uncultured bacterium
Lineage: Bacteria
Description: partial 16S ribosomal RNA
Rfam family: Bacterial small subunit ribosomal RNA
Source: RNAcentral